CCUACGGGGGGCAGCAGUGGGGAAUAUUGCGCAAUGGGCGAAAGCCUGACGCAGCGACGCCGCGUGCGGGAUGAAGGUCCUCGGAUCGUUAACCUCUGUCAGCAGGGAAGAACGGUCACUGUGCUAAUCAGCAGUGAAUUGACGGUACCUGCAAAGGAAGCACCGGCUAACUCCGUGCCAGCAGCCGCGGUAAUACGGAGGGUGCGAGCGUUAAUCGGUUUUACUGGGCGUAAAGCGCUCGUAGGCGGUAUGUCAAGUCAAGGGUGAAAUCCCCGCGCUCAACGUGGGAACUGCCUUUGAAACUGGCAAACUGGAGUGUGUGAGAGGAUAGUGGAAUUCCAGGUGUAGGAGUGAAAUCCGUAGAUAUCUGGAGGAACAUCAGUGGCGAAGGCGACUAUCUGGCACAUAACUGACGCUGAGGAGCGAAAGCGUGGGUAGCAAACAGGAUUAGAUACCCCAGUAGUC
This 465-nucleotide ribosomal RNA is filed under the name uncultured bacterium. RNAcentral's name for it is "partial 16S ribosomal RNA". It matches the Rfam family "Bacterial small subunit ribosomal RNA", at positions 338 to 795 of the family's 1533-position model. The record is from RNAcentral.